RNAcentral lists this ribosomal RNA (274 nucleotides) under uncultured bacterium. RNAcentral describes it as "partial 16S ribosomal RNA". It matches the Rfam family "Bacterial small subunit ribosomal RNA", at positions 523 to 796 of the family's 1533-position model. The record is from RNAcentral.
AUACGGAGGGCGCAAGCGUUGUUCGGAAUCAUUGGGCGUAAAGCGCGCGUAGGCGGCUAGGUAAGUCGGGUGUGAAAUCCCGGGGCUCAACCCCGGAACUGCACUCGAAACUGCCUGGCUAGAGUCUCGGAGAGGUAGGCGGAAUUCCCGGUGUAGAGGUGAAAUUCGUAGAUAUCGGGAGGAACACCAGUGGCGAAGGCGGCCUACUGGACGAUGACUGACGCUGAGGUGCGAAAGCGUGGGGAGCAAACAGGAUUAGAAACCCCAGUAGUCC